Molecule: ribosomal RNA, 253 nt
Filed under: uncultured bacterium
Lineage: Bacteria
Description: partial 16S ribosomal RNA
Rfam family: Bacterial small subunit ribosomal RNA
Source: RNAcentral
UACGUAGGGUGCAAGCGUUAAUCGGAAUUACUGGGCGUAAAGCGUGCGCAGGCGGUUUUGUAAGACAGAGGUGAAAUCCCCGGGCUCAACCUGGGAACUGCCUUUGUGACUGCAAGGCUUGAGUGCGGCAGAGGGGGAUGGAAUUCCGCGUGUAGCAGUGAAAUGCGUAGAUAUGCGGAGGAACACCGAUGGCGAAGGCAAUCCCCUGGGCCUGCACUGACGCUCAUGCACGAAAGCGUGGGGAGCAAGCAGG